AGUCAAAACCGCACACUUUCUGUCUACUCUUCAACCUCCAGGGGCAGGCGCCUCCUCCCUGUACAAGGAGGAAAGACGGAAGUGAAGAGGUGGCCCAGAGCAAGAGGGAAAGCUGGACACAGAAUCCAAAGUUGGUGCGGUUUCCUAGAGUCUCAUCUGCUUUCAGAACGCAGCCUGAUUCCUGGAGCAGCCCCCGCCCAGGAGAGGCCGGCACGCUUACCUCCAAACAUCUUAGAAAAGCUAACUCCCACUUACCCCUGAGAAUCUUCUAGCCUUAAACAUAAAAGUCCACAUUGGCAGCUGUUGAAGGACAGAUUAGGGAAGAGUGUCCAGCCCGCCCGCUGCCGGACCCCUGCUUGGUCACCGCGGUCACAUGGAGGGCUGGUGGACCCCUGCCCGGGCGCACCACUUGGAGGGCUGGGCGGAGACUCGAAAGCAGCAUAAUCCUUUAACUGGAGAAUGUGGUAUUUCCUCAUCCAUCUCCUAUUCACCCCUCUUUUGUUGCAAAUAAUUCAACGUCUCAUUUGCCCUAAUUUUCUUUCUUUAUAUCUUUGUAGCUGAGCCUUUCCCCCCCAUUCAUGUCCCUUACUAAUUGGAAGGUCUUUUAAAGAAAGUUCUCUUUGACAUUUGGUCUCUCA
This is a long non-coding RNA of Suricata suricatta (meerkat), 638 nucleotides long. RefSeq lists it as uncharacterized. The transcript is spliced from 2 exons. The record is from RefSeq and is a predicted model, not a curated record. NCBI's taxonomy places the organism in Eukaryota, Metazoa, Chordata, Mammalia, Carnivora, Herpestidae.